Molecule: unclassified non-coding RNA, 225 nt
Filed under: uncultured Alphaproteobacteria bacterium
Lineage: Bacteria; Pseudomonadati; Pseudomonadota; Alphaproteobacteria
Description: contains 16S-23S intergenic spacer region
Source: RNAcentral
UCCGGCUUAUCACCGGCAGUCCCUCUAGAGUGCCCAACUAAAUGAUGGCAACUAAAGGCAAGGGUUGCGCUCGUUGCGGGACUUAACCCAACAUCUCACGACACGAGCUGACGACAGCCAUGCAGCACCUGUCUCCGGUCCAGCCGAACUGAAGAGCUCCAUCUCUGGUGCUCGCGACCGGGAUGUCAAAGGCUGGUAAGGUGGGGAUGACGUCGAAUACGUAAC